This 537-nucleotide ribosomal RNA is filed under the name uncultured bacterium. RNAcentral describes it as "bacterial SSU rRNA". It matches the Rfam family "Bacterial small subunit ribosomal RNA", at positions 775 to 1308 of the family's 1533-position model. The record is from RNAcentral.
AGUAAAUAGAUACCCGGGUAGUCCACGCCGUAAACGAUGUCGACUUGGAGGUUGUGCCCUUGAGGCGUGGCUUCCGGAGCUAAACGCGUUAAAGUCGACCGCCUGGGGAGUACGGCCGCAAGGUUAAAACUCAAAUGAAUUGACGGGGGCCCGCACAAGCGGUGGAGCAUGUGGUUUAAUUCGAUGCAACGCGAAGAACCUUACCUACUCUUGACAUCCAGAGAACUUAGCAGAGAUGCUUUGGUGCCUUCGGGAACUCUGAGACAGGUGCUGCAUGGCUGUCGUCAGCUCGUGUUGUGAAAUGUUGGGUUAAGUCCCGCAACGAGCGCAACCCUUAUCCUUUGUUGCCAGCGGUUAGGCCGGGAACUCAAAGGAGACUGCCAGUGAUAAACUGGAGGAAGGUGGGGAUGACGUCAAGUCAUCACGGCCCUUACGAGUAGGGCUACACACGUGCUACAAUGGCGCAUACAAAGAGAAGCGACCUCGCGAGAGCAAGCGGACCUCAUAAAGUGCGUCGUAGUCCGGAUUGGAGUCUGC